Small nucleolar RNA from Pelodiscus sinensis (Chinese soft-shelled turtle), 83 nucleotides. Ensembl annotates it as small nucleolar RNA SNORD45. NCBI's taxonomy places the organism in Eukaryota, Metazoa, Chordata, Testudines, Trionychidae. The record is from Ensembl.
GGCCAAUGAUGAGUCUUGGCAUGUAUUACCUGAUUCUAAAGUUGAUGAUUAUUGCUUUAGCUCUAGAAUUACUCUGAGACCUG